This 2905-nucleotide non-coding RNA is filed under the name Pan troglodytes (chimpanzee). The record is from RNAcentral. Lineage: Eukaryota; Metazoa; Chordata; Mammalia; Primates; Hominidae.
UUUUCCUCGCUUGUACUACUCAAUUAUAAAACAAAUUAUUAACGAUAGCUUCUGAAUUUGGUACAUGGCAUCAUAGGUGAACAAAAAAAGCCACAGUUCAGAGCUGAUGGUCAGUCCGUCCCUAGUCCAGCUUCUAUAAAAGGAAGGCGGGUUUAGGUUUCAACUCUCUAUAGUUGAAUCUCCAUGAGUAAGAAGCAGAUGCCUUCCUUAUUUUCCCAGACUGCCCAAGAUUAUUCUCUCAUCAACACAAGGUAGAGGUUUGCCACCUCUACAUGAAUUCGCAACUCCACUCUGUGACUGGGUGGCACAUCAGUUCACUAAGAAGUUAAACUUUACAAAAUGACGUCCUCUUCCUCUUGCCGGUAUGGGCCUCUGGCAGUGUCACUGAUCAAUAGGACAUGGCAAAAGUAACUACCUGGAGAACUAAAACUAAGCAUAAUCUUGGCCUGAACUACUACGGUAAAGUUAGUACCUUUUAUUUCUGUUUAUGUAAACUUAUCAAUAAAUUAUUAAAGCACAAACUCUAUCACUUCUUGGAACUAAAGAUUUACAUCUAGAUAUAACAAUAGAAACCUACCUAUCCUGGAGUUAACUUUCUCAGAUUACUGCUCCUGACUUUUGCUGUUCUUUUCCUUUUGCAAGGGGGUGCCAACAAUGGAUGGAAGAGGCAAGGAGAUCUUACUUUAUAGGAAUUUCUCCAAGUUACAACGAGCAACUGACCAAAUCAUAUUCAACUACAGGUGAUGAGAGAGAGAGUACCUGACUUCAGACCACCUGGGAAGCACAAUGCUUAGUUAACAAGAAUAUCUGGAUUAAGCAGUGCCGAAGUGGCCGCACACCGAGUCAGGCCAAGGAAGCUCUUCUGUCAUUGCCGCCCAACUCUGUUCCACUUUGCAUGCAGACAUAUCAAAGACUGUGAUGAAGAUCAUGGUGGACAAGGAAGAAUGAAAAACUUUGUGAUGGGAUCUGGGCCUCUACAUUAGAGAAAGAACCUAACAAACCCCAUUUCUUUGGAUUCGUAAGGUGAGGCUGAGGAGGGCUUACUGGAGGUGGAGACGGAGAGCUGUGUUUCUGGGCUCAAAGCCAAGAAAAGGUUAAGAAGAGGGGCUUGCAUCAGUCAUAUAGAUUAAAAAGAGCAAGGCAUGAUAAUUACUAAAUUUAUAGUUUCAUGUUUUAACACAGAAGAGUCAGAGGGAAAACUGACAAUUUAAAAAGGGGCAUGGGAUGAGAAAAAGUCUAGGAGUUACUGAGAUGCCUGGUACUUAUCUAUGAAACUUCCAUCACUAGACCCUUUUGACCUACGAGAAUAGCAGUUUCUAUGGUUCAACCUAAUACACUGCAUGGGCUCAAAUAUAUAACAAUUAGAAUUGAGAGUAAUCAGAAUACCAAUAAUACCCCCCCUUCUGAAAAAGUAACAGCUCUUAGAUGAAGAGAGCUUCUUAAGAUCAGCGUUUAAGAGUCAAAGCACCUGUAAGGGAGACUUAACGACCCUUUCAAAUCAAGUGAGGGCGGAAGGGUGAGGGCAUAGUUCAAAGGAACAAGGCAGCUCCACCGGAAGGUGGCGAGUAAAAGCUGCACACUGUGGCAAAUCAGUAGCAAUGGGAAAGGGCAGGAGGGUACAGCCAAGAAUAGCUACAAACAACUGGUCACCUUCAAAGGAAACGCUGCAUAUGGGUGUCUGUGUAUAUGUACUAUACAUAUCAACCAAGCACACACAUAAAUAUUUAAUAUAUAAAAAAUAAAGUGCUUUCUAACAGGUCCCUGGGCAGGGACAUUAUAAAACAUUUCACAGAACUGCAAAACAAAAUUGAUACAAUCAAAGAACACUACAUCCAACACAAGUGAAAACAGCCAAACACAGUAUGUACAAUCUGGUGGGUGUCCCAGGACAAACGUCCUGUCAUAUACAUGGUAUAUACAUAUAUACUCUUUUACUCAAUAUAUUAUGACAAUAUAUAUUUUAAAAUUUUGUUAUAGACAAAAAAUAAAAAACCAAAACAAAAGACAACCCCUACAAAAACACGAUAAGGAUCAAGCAUGUGAGUCCUAGACUGACAGACAAAUCACUGCCUCCACCGGGAGUCCCAUUGCCACUGCUGGGGAAAAUGUGCCAGCGUUCCUUCCUUGGGUGCAGGGCCUCCACAUCCUCCAAGGCACUGUGGGCUGCGGCAGUAAAGUUGGCAUCACCAGUGGUGAGCAGGUCAAAGACACAGGACUGGAAAUAGAUGUCCUUCACUGGCAUCUUCUCAUGGCAUUGAGUGUUGGCAGUCUCCAGUGUGUAGCCAGGCCAGGCCUGCACCAAGGAGGUGCGAGGCAGGCUGUGUCCCAGGAUGGCAGACACCUGGCCCUGCCCGUCAUCGAUGCGUUCACUCAGGGGGCAGCCAUUCACGCACAGCUGCAGGUCCUGGCUCUCCUCGUAGGACAUGGCCAGGUCUUCAGGCAUACGGAUGGCAAGGGUCAGGUAGCGACCCACCUGCCGCACAAACACUGUGGUCCCUAUAUAGCGGGCGUGCAUCUCCACAUAGUGGCCACUCUCCCUCUCCACGAUACGCAGGCUCUUGGCAUCGCUGUCCCCACCACUGGUGGUGCCAUCCACAAAGGCGGCCGGCAGGUCAUCUGUCACAGCUUGGUAGACUUUCUGAUCUGUACACUCAUGGUGGGCUUUGAAGAUAAUAGUGAUCUGUGGGAAGGAGCAUGUACAAGGUUUAACAGAAUGGGAAGGAAGCAGAACGGGGCAACCCUCUGUAGCAAGAGCUCCCCGCCAUUUUGAAGCUGAAUGGCUUAAGGCGGAAUCUCCAAAAUGGACCCAACUGCUUGCACCUCAAAAAUGGAUGAUAUCACUUUCAGAAAAUAUUUUUUAAAGUCCUAUAUAUUUAGAACUAAAGUUUAAAUAAAUCUGUGCAUC